ACAAGGAACCUAACCGUCCGAUCUACGCUCACCAUAUGAGCUAUGCUUAGUUUGCCAUAGAUCUGGUGCUCAAAUUGCAUCAUCUUUUUCAUUUAGAAUAUUUCUUUAGUUUCUCAACUUGCGUCAUGUACACAAGAAAAAUGGGGGAUCUCAGGAAGAUUUAUCUGGCCUAAUUAAGUCACCGAAGAGAGACAACGGCAUUGCUCUUUUUUUUUGAACUGUCACCGGGGUAGGGAUAGCGAUCCCUCCACCUGAAUUUUAUUGCCAAGUCACCACCACAGGGGGGGGGGUCUUCAUUUUUACAAACAUCAACACACACUUAGAGGGGGAAAUCUAACAGAGCCCAGACUAGAUCACCGCAUCAACGCACGCACCCACGCAUCAAUAUCCUCGCGAUCCCGUGGACAUAGCCGCUCCCGCCAAAGAACAUCAUCCUCGCGACAGCAGCUUAGUACCCGAUUUAGGGACGGCACCAUAGCUUGGAAGACCACACCGUUCUGAUGCUUCCAUAGGUGCCAGCAGCAAAGGAGGACGAAGGUGACAGGAGGCAUUGCUCUUUUUAAGCCCAUGAAUUAACAAAUAAGCCCAACGCAAGGAAUAUUUAAUGUCAUGUAUGUAAUAGUG
RNAcentral lists this long non-coding RNA (624 nucleotides) under Triticum aestivum (bread wheat). RNAcentral describes it as "long non-coding RNA (TAES_LNC001766)". Lineage: Eukaryota; Viridiplantae; Streptophyta; Magnoliopsida; Poales; Poaceae. The record is from RNAcentral.